GUCUUGAACAUAUGGUUAAAAUUUAGAAUUUAUCUGACAGUUAAAAUAUUUUAUAUAAAUUUGAAUGUUCAUAUUGCUAAAUUGGGUAUUAAGAAUGGGGUAAAGUUAAAUAAGUUAUUUUGAUGGAACAAAAUUUAUUUUGAGAUGGAUAUGGUUUUUGGUAAAUUUAAAUUAUUGUGGAUUAUUUUGAGAAAUAAAUAUGUGUUUUAAUUGGAUUUGUGGUAAUAUGGAUAUGUUGUGGAAUAUUUUAAUUGAGAAUUGAAUAUGAAGUGUUGAAAUUAA
RNAcentral lists this unclassified non-coding RNA (282 nucleotides) under Hevea brasiliensis (rubber tree). Lineage: Eukaryota; Viridiplantae; Streptophyta; Magnoliopsida; Malpighiales; Euphorbiaceae. The record is from RNAcentral.